AAGAGUUGGUGCUGCGGUUGCGGGCUAAAGGCUUAGCUUCGCUAAUCUUUAGCCUGAGGAAAGUCCGGGCUCCUGAAAGGUCAGGCUUGCUGGGUAACGCCCAGUGCGGGUGACCGUGAGGAUAGUGCCACAGAAACAUACCGCCGAUGGGCAAAGGUACCGCUGUUCUACAGAGGUGCCUCUUGCCACAGGUAAGGGUGCAAAGGUGCGGUAAGAGCGCACCAGCAGCAUCGAGAGGUGCUGGCUCGGUAAACCCCGGCCAGGAGCAAGGUCGCAGGGGCAAUUGGUUGACCUUUUUCCAGCCCCGUUUUUGGUGUACCGCUAGAGGCAGUUGGUAACAGCUGUCCCAGAUAGAUAACCGCCCGUUGAUGGUGACAUCAGCGAGAACAGAACCCGGCUUACGGCCAACUCUUUCCU
Molecule: RNase P RNA, 417 nt
Filed under: Leptothoe kymatousa TAU-MAC 1615
Lineage: Bacteria; Bacillati; Cyanobacteriota; Cyanophyceae; Nodosilineales; Cymatolegaceae
Description: RNase P RNA component class A
Rfam family: Bacterial RNase P class A
About the family: Ribonuclease P (RNase P) is a ubiquitous endoribonuclease, found in archaea, bacteria and eukarya as well as chloroplasts and mitochondria.
Source: RNAcentral